RNAcentral lists this ribosomal RNA (482 nucleotides) under uncultured bacterium. Its description in RNAcentral is "partial 16S ribosomal RNA". It matches the Rfam family "Bacterial small subunit ribosomal RNA", at positions 30 to 507 of the family's 1533-position model. The record is from RNAcentral.
AUUGAACGCUGGCGGCAUGCUUUACACAUGCAAGUCGAACGGUAACAGGCCGCAAGGUGCUGACGAGUGGCGAACGGGUGAGUAAUGCAUCGGAACGUGCCCAGUCGUGGGGGAUAACUACUCGAAAGAGUAGCUAAUACCGCAUACGAUCUAUGGAUGAAAGCGGGGGACCGUAGGGCCUCGCGCGAUUAGAGCGGCCGAUGUCAGAUUAGGUAGUUGGUGGGGUAAAGGCUCACCAAGCCAACGAUCUGUAGCUGGUCUGAGAGGACGACCAGCCACACUGGGACUGAGACACGGCCCAGACUCCUACGGGAGGCAGCAGUGGGGAAUUUUGGACAAUGGGCGCAAGCCUGAUCCAGCAAUGCCGCGUGCAGGAAGAAGGCCUUCGGGUUGUAAACUGCUUUUGUACGGAGCGAAACGGCUCUGGUUAAUACCCGGGGCUAAUGACGGUACCGUAAGAAUAAGCACCGGCUAACUACGUG